Molecule: ribosomal RNA, 989 nt
Filed under: Escherichia coli
Lineage: Bacteria; Pseudomonadati; Pseudomonadota; Gammaproteobacteria; Enterobacterales; Enterobacteriaceae
Description: bacterial SSU rRNA
Rfam family: Bacterial small subunit ribosomal RNA
Source: RNAcentral
GGGCGUAAAGCGCACGCAGGCGGUUUGUUAAGUCAGAUGUGAAAUCCCCGGGCUCAACCUGGGAACUGCAUCUGAUACUGGCAAGCUUGAGUCUCGUAGAGGGGGGUAGAAUUCCAGGUGUAGCGGUGAAAUGCGUAGAGAUCUGGAGGAAUACCGGUGGCGAAGGCGGCCCCCUGGACGAAGACUGACGCUCAGGUGCGAAAGCGUGGGGAGCAAACAGGAUUAGAUACCCUGGUAGUCCACGCCGUAAACGAUGUCGACUUGGAGGUUGUGCCCUUGAGGCGUGGCUUCCGGAGCUAACGCGUUAAGUCGACCGCCUGGGGAGUACGGCCGCAAGGUUAAAACUCAAAUGAAUUGACGGGGGCCCGCACAAGCGGUGGAGCAUGUGGUUUAAUUCGAUGCAACGCGAAGAACCUUACCUGGUCUUGACAUCCACGGAAGUUUUCAGAGAUGAGAAUGUGCCUUCGGGAACCGUGAGACAGGUGCUGCAUGGCUGUCGUCAGCUCGUGUUGUGAAAUGUUGGGUUAAGUCCCGCAACGAGCGCAACCCUUAUCCUUUGUUGCCAGCGGUCCGGCCGGGAACUCAAAGGAGACUGCCAGUGAUAAACUGGAGGAAGGUGGGGAUGACGUCAAGUCAUCAUGGCCCUUACGACCAGGGCUACACACGUGCUACAAUGGCGCAUACAAAGAGAAGCGACCUCGCGAGAGCAAGCGGACCUCAUAAAGUGCGUCGUAGUCCGGAUUGGAGUCUGCAACUCGACUCCAUGAAGUCGGAAUCGCUAGUAAUCGUGGAUCAGAAUGCCACGGUGAAUACGUUCCCGGGCCUUGUACACACCGCCCGUCACACCAUGGGAGUGGGUUGCAAAAGAAGUAGGUAGCUUAACCUUCGGGAGGGCGCUUACCACUUUGUGAUUCAUGACUGGGGUGAAGUCGUAACAAGGUAACCGUAGGGGAACCUGCGGUUGGAUCACCUCCUUACCUUAAAGAAGC